GACGAACGCUGGCGGCGUGCUUAACACAUGCAAGUCGAACGGAAAGGCCCUGCUUUUGUGGGGUGCUCGAGUGGCGAACGGGUGAGUAACACGUGAGUAACCUGCCCUUGACUUUGGGAUAACUUCAGGAAACUGGGGCUAAUACCGGAUAGGAGCUCCUGCUGCAUGGUGGGGGUUGGAAAGUUUCGGCGGUUGGGGAUGGACUCGCGGCUUAUCAGCUUGUUGGUGGGGUAGUGGCUUACCAAGGCUUUGACGGGUAGCCGGCCUGAGAGGGUGACCGGCCACAUUGGGACUGAGAUACGGCCCAGACUCCUACGGGAGGCAGCAGUGGGGAAUAUUGCACAAUAGGCGGAAGCCUGAUGCAGCAACGCCGCGUGCGUGAUGACGGCCUUCGGGUUGUAAACCGCUUUCGCCUGUGACGAAGCGUGAGUGACGGUAAUGGGUAAAGAAGCACCGGCUAACUACGUG
RNAcentral lists this ribosomal RNA (468 nucleotides) under uncultured bacterium. RNAcentral's name for it is "partial 16S ribosomal RNA". It matches the Rfam family "Bacterial small subunit ribosomal RNA", at positions 28 to 507 of the family's 1533-position model. The record is from RNAcentral.